UAGAGGGGGGUACGGUGGGGUACUGGGGUUUUUGAUUCCUCAAGCGCAGGUUCGAGUCCUGUCCCUUUAA
Molecule: transfer RNA, 70 nt
Filed under: Anilany helenae
Lineage: Eukaryota; Metazoa; Chordata; Amphibia; Anura; Microhylidae
Description: tRNA-Gln
Rfam family: tRNA
About the family: Transfer RNA (tRNA) molecules are approximately 80 nucleotides in length.
Source: RNAcentral